Molecule: transfer RNA, 71 nt
Filed under: Candidatus Pacearchaeota archaeon
Lineage: Archaea; Nanobdellati
Description: tRNA-Ala
Rfam family: tRNA
About the family: Transfer RNA (tRNA) molecules are approximately 80 nucleotides in length. Their secondary structure includes four short double-helical elements and three loops (D, anti-codon, and T loops).
Source: RNAcentral
GGGCCCGUAGUCUAAUGGUAAGACGCCUCCUUCGCAGGGAGGAAUUUCGAGUUCGACUCUCGACGGGUCCA